UUUGCUGAGGGACUUUUAUUUUGAAAAGGCCUCUGCCGCUGGAAGGAGAGUCAGUUCCCUGCCCCCACUGACAGACCUCUUCCUUCUCCCUCUGGGUUGUUUCAAGCGGUGUGGCAGUGUGUGAGUAAGACAAUAAAUUAUGUGCAGCACCACCAUCACUACUCACCACACCGGCAACAACAAAGACCUGAGCCCUAGGACCGUGCCCCAGGACUACCUGACAUGAUGAAUCCUUGCUGUCCCCAGUCCACCUGACUGUGCUGCUGCUCCAGUUUCAACUGUUCUGUCUUAUUAUUAUUCGACCAUGCUGGUCAUUUAUGAACAUUUGAACAUCUUGGUCAUGUUCUGUUAUAAUCUCUACCCGGCACAGCCAGAAGAGGACUGGCCACCCCACAUAGCCUGGUUCCUCUCUAGGUUUCUUCCUAGGUUUUGGCCUUUCUAGGGAGUUUUUCCUAGCCACCGUGCUUUUACACCUGCAUUGUUUGCUGUUUGGGGUUUUAGGCUGGGUUUCUGUACAGCACUUUGAGAUAUCAGCUGAUGUACGAAGAGCUAUAUAAAUAAAUUUGAUUUGAUGUUGCACAA
Oncorhynchus nerka (sockeye salmon) is the source of this 582-nucleotide long non-coding RNA. RefSeq lists it as uncharacterized. Lineage: Eukaryota; Metazoa; Chordata; Actinopteri; Salmoniformes; Salmonidae. The transcript is spliced from 2 exons. The record is from RefSeq and is a predicted model, not a curated record.